AUUGAACGCUGGCGGCAUGCCUUACACAUGCAAGUCGAACGGUAGAGUAGCAAUACUUGAGAGUGGCGAACGGGUGAGUAAUAUAUCGGAACGUGCCCAGUCGUGGGGGAUAACGUAGCGAAAGUUACGCUAAUACCGCAUACGAUCUAAGGAUGAAAGCGGGGGAUCGCAAGACCUCGCGCGAUUGGAGCGGCCGAUAUCAGAUUAGGUAGUUGGUGAGGUAAAGGCUCACCAAGCCGACGAUCUGUAGCUGGUCUGAGAGGACGACCAGCCACACUGGGACUGAGACACGGCCCAGACUCCUACGGGAGGCAGCAGUGGGGAAUUUUUGGGACAAUGGGCGCAAGCCUGAUCCAGCAAUGCCGCGUGCAGGAUGAAGG
Molecule: ribosomal RNA, 380 nt
Filed under: uncultured bacterium
Lineage: Bacteria
Description: bacterial SSU rRNA
Rfam family: Bacterial small subunit ribosomal RNA
Source: RNAcentral